AAUAGAUACCCUGGUAGUCCACGCCGUAAACGAUGAGUGCUAAGUGUUAGAGGGUUUCCGCCCUUUAGUGCUGCAGCUAACGCAUUAAGCACUCCGCCUGGGGAGUACGGCCGCAAGGCUGAAACUCAAAGGAAUUGACGGGGGCCCGCACAAGCGGUGGAGCAUGUGGUUUAAUUCGAAGCAACGCGAAGAACCUUACCAGGUCUUGACAUCCUCUGACACUUCUAGAGAUAGGACUUUCCCCUUCGGGGGACAGAGUGACAGGUGGUGCAUGGUUGUCGUCAGCUCGUGUCGUGAGAUGUUGGGUUAAGUCCCGCAACGAGCGCAACCCUUGUUCUUAGUUGCCAGCAUUUAGUUGGGCACUCUAAGGAGACUGCCGGUGACAAACCGGAGGAAGGUGGGGAUGACGUCAAAUCAUCAUGCCCCUUAUGACCUGGGCUACACACGUGCUACAAUGGAUGGUACAAAGGGCUGCAAGACCGCGAGGUUUAGCCAAUCCCAUAAAACCAUUCUCAGUUCGGAUUGCAGGCUG
This 532-nucleotide ribosomal RNA is filed under the name uncultured bacterium. RNAcentral describes it as "bacterial SSU rRNA". It matches the Rfam family "Bacterial small subunit ribosomal RNA", at positions 777 to 1307 of the family's 1533-position model. The record is from RNAcentral.